AUUGAACGCUGGCGGCAUGCCUUACACAUGCAAGUCGAACGGUAACAGGUCUUCGGAUGCCGACGAGUGGCGAACGGGUGAGUAAUACAUCGGAACGUGCCUAGUAGUGGGGGAUAACUACUCGAAAGAGUGGCUAAUACCGCAUGAGAUCUACGGAUGAAAGCAGGGGAUCGCAAGACCUUGUGCUACUAGAGCGGCCGAUGGCAGAUUAGGUAGUUGGUGGGAUAAAAGCUUACCAAGCCGACGAUCUGUAGCUGGUCUGAGAGGACGAUCAGACACACUGGGACUGAGACACGGCCCAGACUCCUACGGGAGGCAGCAGUGGGGAAUUUUGGACAAUGGGCGAAAGCCUGAUCCAGCAAUGCCGCGUGCAGGAUGAAGGCCUUCGGGUUGUAAACUGCUUUUGUACGGAACGAAAAGCCCCGGGUUAAUACCCUGGGGUCAUGACGGUACCGUAAGAAUAAGCACCGGCUAACUACGUGCCAGCAGCCGCGGUAA
RNAcentral lists this ribosomal RNA (498 nucleotides) under uncultured bacterium. Its description in RNAcentral is "partial 16S ribosomal RNA". It matches the Rfam family "Bacterial small subunit ribosomal RNA", at positions 30 to 523 of the family's 1533-position model. The record is from RNAcentral.